UUUGCCAAGCUCCAUGUGCAACAAGACCCAUCCGCUUUGCUUUUCAGAAUGGGGCUUCUUUUUUUUCACCGCGUUCAAAGAAUCAUCGCUGUUUAUGACUAAAAAGCCCUGUGUGAAUUGACCAUGACUCCACACCCAAAGUUAUAUAGUUUGCAUGUCCUGCAGAAGGACCCUAGUAUGCGGAAAGGCAGUUGGAGUUCGCCAGUCCCCUCUGCACCACCAGUAUAGGAACGCUAGCUUGGUGUGCAACGUUCGGUGGUAGUGAGUAUAACCAGAGAUAUUGUAAUAUGACCUCUGGCAUAAUUUAGCUAACGUUAUUGCUGGUUAAGUAGCUAUCUAGUCAUUUUUGGCAGUCAUCACUGCAAGCGAUCAUCAUUCUCAAAGCUGCUGUUCACUUCUGAAGAUCACUUUAGCACUGCCCUAAAAACACGAUUCAAGUUCGACACAAACCUUCAAAUAGAUAUCUUGUGCAGUGGAAACACUUGAGCCUCUGCCUCGUCCACAUCAGCAAUAACUCAUCACUCCUACUCCAGGAUGCCGGUGGGCGGAGUUGGGGAGGGUCGUCAGCUACAUGGGAAACACCUGGGCCAGGUGUGUCCCAGGAUAAAUAGACCUCCUCUACAUUCAUGGAGAGAGCAUUUUUGGAGCUAGAAACCAACAUUUUUCUGGCCGUACGAUACACAUAGGUGUAUGUGACAAACUUUUAUUUGCUCACCAACUGCUGCUGAUGCACAACCAAAUUCUAAAUUUCACCUUGUGUAUUUUACUAUUGUAACACAACAGUAAGUGACCGCUGAUAAAAAAAUAAAAAUAAAAUAAUAAUAAAGGUCAGUGGCCCCCUGGCUACUGCUUAUGUGGAUUAUGCCUGCAGCCCGCUGUGGUUAUGCGUCAUAGCGCAAUUCCAUCCUCACUGGAAGUAAUCAUUGCUUAGACAUGAUUGGGCAAGUCAUGUAUUUCGAAAUGAUCACUGAUUACAGGGGGGGAUAUGGUUAAAAAAAUACUAUUGUAUUUCACUUUCAAUCCAUGUUCUUUACAUUCAAUGUCAAAUUCUGUAUACUGAUUAUUUCCAUUCCAAAAGAAGUAACUGAUGUGGAAUGUAACAGGUCUCAAUUUAAUUCUGAAUGGACCCCAAUCUAGCUUGGAAAACUAUUUGAAGCACUAGGGUCAUUUCUCCAUAUAACAUUACAUAUAGUUAGCCUGUAACUAUCUGGACAACUUGUCCUAUGUGUCAUCUCCAUACUUAUCAGAAUGUCAAAAAGAAAGAGGGCCCCAACUUUUGAUGACAUUGCCUCAGUUAUUAAAAGGCUAGGCCUCUCACCAGACGAAGUUAGAGCAGCGUGCUUCCAUCAGGAAAAUUAUUAUUUUCUGUGCUGGUCAUUGAACUGGAAAGGUCUAACUCCCUCAGCUAUCACCGUCAACUCUACGACGUGUGGAGGAAGGGAAGGAUAGCCAAUGCGCAACCCCCCUCCGUCUCCAAGAUUUCCCCUACACUACCCCAGGUCCCUUAAUCAAUACCCCAGCAAGAAUGCACCACAUGCCUGCUGCCUUUAACACCAGCACAAGCAGCUGGAAUGUUUGAAACGGUUGAUCCCGCUAACAUAUCCCACCUUCCACCACUGCACCCCAAGCCUGGAGACAUUUUUAUGUUUGGAAGGCGGAACAAAAGCGAUGGAUUCAGAAGGGAUCCCACAGCCUUCCGCGCCGUUCACCAAAACUAAGGGUGCGAUAGUAUGCAGGGAAGGAAGCACCAGGGCUCCAAAAAAAGGGAGUAUGAGUUGCUGCAUCAGCCUCAUACUGUGCUAGUUCACUACUUUGGUUUCCGCUGUCCCCCACCCCCACGGCAACAGCCAACAGCAGCAAGCAAGGGAUUUCAUCUGAUUGGCUCCCUCAAUUAUAGAUGAAAUGUCCAGGCGAAAGACUGAAACACCUGGAAAAGUACACUGACAUGACCAAUAACCCACCACCACCCCCGAAUACAUCAUUCAUGCCAGAGUACCAACCUCGCAACUUGGCACAAGUGAAGAACACAAUUUGUCGAGCAAGGGACAUUACUGUUUUGGACCAGGACGAGUUGGUGGCACAACACAUAUGAUGGGUGACAUUCUCUCCGGAUUUGUCACCCAUAUGGAGACUCGACCCGCAACCCUUCUGGUGGUGGAAGCACCAGAAAUGGUUGAAGAGGCCUUUUGAUGGCAUGCUGGUAAUCGGCCACAGCUUGGGCACCCUCUGACCCCAUCUUGUACUUCACAUUGUUCGAGAUGAGGUUCCAGCAAUUGACAAUCCUGGCUUGCGGCAGCACAAACUGGAUUGCUCCCUCAAUAGCUGCCUCACGGUCUGUGCAGAAGAUUGCUGUUGAUAGUUGGGGAAGGAGUUAGAGGAUGGUGCAAAAGAACUGUUUGUGGUUUUCCAUGUGCCGGGUGGUGUGAAUGAAAAAGGCCAGGGGAAGGACAGGUGCCUCUUGAAACGCUACAUGACGGAAAACAAGGGGUGAAACAUAAAAAUUGCCCAGGUCAAACGGUGUCAUAGUGAAAAAUGUGUGCUUCUUGGUGUUUGCAUUUAAUGACUGCCUUGGCCUCUUCAACCAUUUCUGGUGCUGCCACCACCAGAAGGGUUGCGGGUCGAGUCUCGAUAUGGAUAACAAAUCCGGGGAGAAUGUCACCCAUUCAAAAUAUUAAUGUAAGCGAUUUUAGAAUAAGGUUGUUAGGUUAUAGCACGUGAAAAAGAAAAAAGGAGUCUGUCUCUCUGGUAGAGUAAUGGUUAUGGUGUGUGCUCUUUAAACCAGAGUUUGAGAGUUCAAAUCAGAGGAGAGCAUUUUUUAGAGAGCCAUUUUUGAUGUUGCCUUUUGUUGGCAUGAAAGUAAGACCUUCACGGUAAGGUCCACAGCUGUUGUAUUCGGAGCAUGUGACAAAUACAAUUUGAUUUGGCUUGGUUUUUCCUCUGGCAUGCACUGUCAACUGUGGGGCCUUAUAUAGACAGGUGUGUGCCUUUCCAAAUCAUGUCAAAUCAAUUGAAUGAAGUUGUAGAAACAGCUCUAGGAUGAUCAAUGGAAACAGGAUGCACCUGAACUCAAUUUGAGACUCAUUGCAAAGGGGAAGAAUCAUUAUGUAUAUAAGGUAUUUCUGUUUUUUAUUUGUAAUUCAUUUGCUAAAAUAUAUAAACAUGAUAUUCACUAUGUCAUCAUAGGGUAUUGUGUGUAGAUUGAGGGAAAAUAUUAACGUAAGCGAUUUUAGAAUAAAUUUGUUAGGUUAUAGCAUGUGAAAAAGAAAAAGGAGUCUCUGCAUAUGAAAAAUGGUUACUCUCCCUUUGGGCCAUGCAUACUCUCUCCAGUAGAGUAAUGGUUAUGGUGUUUGCUCCCCAAACCAGAGUUUGAGCGUUCAAAUCUGAGGAGAGACAUUUUUAGAGAGACAUUUUUGAUGUUGCAUGAAAGAGCUAACUUGAGGGGGGUAGGGGCUAGUUCCCAUCAAAUAGAAGAACUGAAGUGACACCUUGCAUAGAAUGUCAUUUUAAUAGAGUUGUGAUAACAUACUAUGUCGUGGAGUAACAAUAUAAUCCCUGUCUGCAAAAGGCCAACUUUGACCUGGGGGCAUGCUUUGUAGACCAUUCAAAAGCGUUCCGAUACCUUGUCCCCAAGAAAAAAACACAUGUUAUGAUAGUUUAAAAAAUAGUUGUAGUAGUAGUUAUGGUGGUGAAUUCCCAAAGGAGAGGUUGUGAGUUAAAUUCCUUUCAAGAGCAUGCCAACUUUCUUUUGUUGCCUUGACAGAACAAUGUUGAGGUGGGGUUCCGGAAGGACAUAGACAGCAAGGGAAAUUGGAUUAUAAAAUGUUAGGGUACAGCAACUGGUGUUGAGUAGGAGUGCUGAUCUACGAUCAAACCCACCCCUGUCCAUAUAAUCUUAUUCCAGAGACAACUGAUUCAGAAUGAUCUAGGCAAAGCUGAUCAUAAAAAAGUGCUCCUCUGUACGCAUUUAUGAAAUGUCUCAGGCUAAGAAUGCUGAACUGGAAUCAGUACCCCCCACCCCCCGUCAAAGUAGUGUUAUUCAUUCUACUCACAAAUCCUAAACAGAUCCUAGUUCAGCACUCCUACUUCAAGCCACCAAGUGAAUGUUGGGUAUUGAGUGCUAAACGUUUUGAACAGUGGUUGAAAAAGUACCCAAUUGUCCUACUUGAGUAAAAGUAAAGAUAUGUUAAUAGAAAAUGUCUCAAGUAAAAGUGAAUGUAACCCAGUAAAAUACGAAGUAAACGCCAUUGCUAAAAGAUAAUUAAGUAUCAGCGGUAAAAUUAUAAAUUAUUUGACCUUCCAUAUAUUAAGCAAACCAGACAGCACAAUUGUCUUGUAUUUUUAUUUAAGAAAUAGCCAUGGGGACACACAGGCAUAAUUUACAAACAAAGCAUGUGUUUAGUGAGUCUGCUCGAUCAGAGACAGUAGGGAUGACCAGGGAUGUUCUCUUGAUAAGUGUGUGAAUUGGACCAUUUUCCUGUCCGGCUUAGAAUUCAAAAUGCAAAAAGUACUUUUGGGUGCCAGGGAAACUGUAUGGAGUAAAAAAUAUAUUAUUUUCUUUAGAAAUGUGGUGAAGUAAAAUGUAAUGUUGUAAAGAAACAGAGUAAAAGUACAGAUAAAACCCCCCCCAGAUAUAAACGGAAUGUAGUGGAGUAGUUUAAAUCCAUUUUUGUUAAGUCAUUUACACCACUGGACUUGAAAGGAACACCUCAAUUACUUCGACUAACAGGUCCCCCCACACAUUGACUCUGUACCGGUACCCCAUGUAUAUAGGCUCGCUGUUUUUAUUUUACUGCUGAUCUUUAAUUAUUUGUUACUUUUAUUUCUUACUUAACACAUUUUUCUUACAACUAAAUUGUUGGUUAAGGGCUUCAUUUCAGCAUUUCACUGUAAGGUCUACACAUGUAGUAUUCGGAGCAUGUGACAAUUUGAUUUGUUACACAUGAAAACAUGUUGUGAACCUGGUGUGACAUUAUUGAAGCUGGGCUGACACCUAGUGGACAUCAAGAGGUACUACACUACACACACACACACACACACACACACACACACACACACACACACACACACAUAUAUAUCAAAUCAAAUGUUAUUUGUCACAUACACAUGGUUAGCAGAUGUUAAUGCGAGUGUAGCGAAAUGCUUGUGCAUAUAUAUAUAUAUAUAUAUAUAUAUCCACACACACUAUAAUCUUAAACCUUAAAACAGAUAUGAUGCUUUACAUAAGUUGCUAUUUUUUAUUAGACACUAAUAUAUAUGUACAAUAAACAGAGGUUCAAAGUCUGAAUGUAAAGCAAAAACAACUGGAAAGUUAUUCAAAAGCAGGUGUAGUGAAUCAAGCAUCUUGGGGUUACCUGAAAUAGGUCAAAGUAUAUAUUUUAAAUGUUCCAAUUUAUUUAAUCUUUAUUUAACUAGGCAAUAUGAACUCAACAUCAUCGACAUAGACACAAGUUACCUGCUAUAUUUCGUUGAUGGGGAGACCAGAAUUAGAUUAAGCUAUGGUGGCAGCACAUGGAGAGAUGUGAUGGAGUCCUGACCGACAGAGGCUUGAUACUGACAUCUCUGAAUGGAGAGAGACCUGGCACUCAACACAUCCACAAUGUGGGACAGAAGGAGAAUGCCCCCUCUCCUGUGUGGACCUUCAGGUGCAUCUUCAGCUGGUGCUGGCGGGAGAACCUCUUCUCACACAUCUGGC
This is a long non-coding RNA of Oncorhynchus masou masou (cherry salmon), 5692 nucleotides long. RefSeq lists it as uncharacterized. The transcript has 5 exons. The record is from RefSeq and is a predicted model, not a curated record. Lineage: Eukaryota; Metazoa; Chordata; Actinopteri; Salmoniformes; Salmonidae.